RNAcentral lists this ribosomal RNA (253 nucleotides) under uncultured prokaryote. RNAcentral describes it as "partial 16S ribosomal RNA". It matches the Rfam family "Bacterial small subunit ribosomal RNA", at positions 524 to 776 of the family's 1533-position model. The record is from RNAcentral.
UACAGAGACUGCAAGCGUUACUCGGAUUCACUGGGCGUAAAGGGAGCGCAGGUGGGCAGGUGUGUCGGGCGUGAAAUCCCGGGGCUUAACCCCGGUACGGCGCCCGAAACUAUCUGUCUAGAGGAUUGGAGAGGCGGGUGGAAUUCCAGGUGUAGCGGUGAAAUGCGUAGAUAUCUGGAGGAACCCCGACGGUGAAGGCAGCCCGCUGGACAAAUCCUUACACUCAGGCUCGAAAGUAUGGGGAGCAAAAGGU